GAUGAACGCUGGCGGCGUGCCUAAUACAUGCAAGUCGAACGCAUAGCGAAAGGUGCUUGCACCUUUCAAGUGAGUGGCGAACGGGUGAGUACCACGUGGACAACCUGCCUCAAGGCUGGGGAUAACAUUUGGAAACAGAUCCUAAUACCGAAUAAAACUUAGUGUCGCAUGACCCAAAGUUAAAAGGCGCUUCGGCGUCACCUAGAGAUGGAUCCGCGGUGCAUUAGUUAGUUGGUGGGGUAAAGGCCUACCAAGACAAUGAUGCAUAGCCGAGUUGAGAGACUGAUCGGCCACAUUGGGACUGGGACACGGCCCAAACUCCUACGGGAGGCUGCAGUAGGGAAUCUUCCACAAUGGGCGAAAGCCUGAUGGAGCAACGCCGCGUGGGUGAUGAAGGCUUUCGGGUCGUAAAGCACUGUUGUAUGGGAAGAACAGCUAGAAUAGGAAAUGAUUUUAGUUUGACGGUACCAGAACAGAAAGGGACGGCUAAAUACGUG
RNAcentral lists this ribosomal RNA (497 nucleotides) under uncultured bacterium. RNAcentral describes it as "partial 16S ribosomal RNA". It matches the Rfam family "Bacterial small subunit ribosomal RNA", at positions 28 to 507 of the family's 1533-position model. The record is from RNAcentral.